CCUACGGGCGACAGCAGUGAGGAAUAUUGGUCAAUGGUCGCGAGCCUGUACCAGCCAAGUAGCGUGAAGGAUGACUGCCCUGCGGGUUGUAAACUUCUUUUAUAAGGGAAUAAAGUGAGGCACGUGUGCCCUUUUGUGUGUACUUGAAGAAUAAGGAUCGGCUAACUCCGUGCCAGCAGCCGCGGUAAUACGGAGGAUCCGAGCGUUAUCCGGAUUUAUUGGGUUUAAAGGGUGCGUAGAUGGUUUGUUAAGUCAGUGGUGAAAGUUUGCGGCUCAACCGUAAAAUUGCCAUUGAUACUGGCAGUCUUGAGUACAGUUGAGGUAGGCGGAAUGCGUGGUGUAGCGGUGAAAUGCUUAGAUAUCACGCAGAACUCCGAUUGCGAAGGCAGCUUACUAAACUGCGACUGACAUUGAUGCUCGAAAGCGUGGGUAGCAAACAGGAUUAGAUACCCCAGUAGUC
RNAcentral lists this ribosomal RNA (460 nucleotides) under uncultured bacterium. RNAcentral describes it as "partial 16S ribosomal RNA". It matches the Rfam family "Bacterial small subunit ribosomal RNA", at positions 338 to 795 of the family's 1533-position model. The record is from RNAcentral.